Long non-coding RNA from Carassius gibelio (silver crucian carp), 282 nucleotides. RefSeq lists it as uncharacterized. The transcript is spliced from 3 exons. Lineage: Eukaryota; Metazoa; Chordata; Actinopteri; Cypriniformes; Cyprinidae. The record is from RefSeq and is a predicted model, not a curated record.
CAGGGGCAUGUGAGGUCAAUGUAUCUGCUGCGAUCCAGUUACACCAGCAGGCUGACAGACCUGAGGAUCCAUUGGUGAGCAAGUAAUGCUACAUUUGAUCAAAUCUUUCGAUGCCGAAAUAGACUCUACAUCUUGGAUGGCCUGCAGGAUUCCACUGGAAUGCUCUGGCUUGAUUUGCGCUAACAGUCAAGUUGCAAACACUGACUGGAUUUACGGGAAUAGUCUAGCCCUAAAGAUUGACUGGACUUUCGGGAGUUGCAUGGGUCUUUCCAAGAGUCGAAC